GACGAACGCUGGCGGCGUGCUUAACACAUGCAAGUCGAACGAAGAGCGAUGGAAGCUUGCUUCUAUCAAUCUUAGUGGCGCACGGGUGAGUAACGCGUAAUCAACCUGCCCUUCAGAGGGGGACAACAGCUGGAAACGACUGCUAAUACCGCAUACGAUCUAACCUCGGCAUCGAGGAUAGAUGAAAGGUGGCCUCUACAUGUAAGCUAUCACUGAAGGAGGGGAUUGCGUCUGAUUAGCUAGUUGGAGGGGUAACGGCCCACCAAGGCGAUGAUCAGUAGCCGGUCUGAGAGGAUGAACGGCCACAUUGGGACUGAGACACGGCCCAGACUCCUACGGGAGGCAGCAGUGGGGAAUCUUCCGCAAUGGACGAAAGUCUGACGGAGCAACGCCGCGUGAGUGAGGACGGCCUUCGGGUUGUAAAGCUCUGUUAAUCGGGACGAAAGGCCUUCUUGCGAAUAGUUAGAAGGAUUGACGGUACCGGAAUAGAAAGCCACGGCUAACUACGUG
This 510-nucleotide ribosomal RNA is filed under the name uncultured bacterium. RNAcentral describes it as "partial 16S ribosomal RNA". It matches the Rfam family "Bacterial small subunit ribosomal RNA", at positions 28 to 507 of the family's 1533-position model. The record is from RNAcentral.